ACACAGCCGUUGUGUCUGUUUUGUUGCCGUUUCUUUUUCAUGUUAGGGUGCUUGGGGGGGGGCCGGGGGGUCGCCCCUAUAUUGGGGGCCGCUGCUCUGGCGUUUUCGAGGGGAUCGCUUUUGAGGUUUCGGAGGUUUUUUGUUUUACUUGGGUGGGGAGGACUCGGACAUUCGACUGUAUGUUGUAGUGGCGUGGUGGCUGCGUCGGGGUUCCGGCGGUUGGAGAUUGUGGGUUCGAUCCUGUGUAAUUCCCAAAUUUUUUUUCUCUCUAAUCUUUUGCACUUUUUGGAAUUUACAUUAUAUUUGGAUUUUU
Molecule: long non-coding RNA, 313 nt
Filed under: Androctonus crassicauda
Lineage: Eukaryota; Metazoa; Arthropoda; Arachnida; Scorpiones; Buthidae
Source: RNAcentral